This 442-nucleotide ribosomal RNA is filed under the name uncultured bacterium. Its description in RNAcentral is "bacterial SSU rRNA". It matches the Rfam family "Bacterial small subunit ribosomal RNA", at positions 64 to 524 of the family's 1533-position model. The record is from RNAcentral.
GAGCGGAAAGGCCCUUCGGGGUACUCGAGCGGCGAACGGGUGAGUAACACGUGAGUAACCUGCCCUUGGCUCUGGGAUAAGCCCGGGAAACUGGGUAUAAUACCGGAUAUGACCACUGGAUGCAUGUUUGGUGGUGGAAAGUUUUUCGGCUGGGGAUGGGCUCGCGGUCUAUCAGCUUGUUGGUGGGGUGAUGGCCUACCAAGGCGACGACGGGUAGCCGGCCUGAGAGGGUGACCGGCCACACUGGGACUGAGACACGGCCCAGACUCCUACGGGAGGCAGCAGUGGGGAAUAUUGCGCAAUGGGCGGAAGCCUGACGCAGCGACGCCGCGUGGGGGAUGAAGGCCUUCGGGUUGUAAACCUCUUUCACCACUGACGAAGCUAACGUGACGGUAGGUGGGGAAGAAGCGCCGGCUAACUACGUGCCAGCAGCCGCGGUAAU